RNAcentral lists this long non-coding RNA (826 nucleotides) under Homo sapiens (human). RNAcentral's name for it is "HSALNT0296327". The record is from RNAcentral. Lineage: Eukaryota; Metazoa; Chordata; Mammalia; Primates; Hominidae.
GGAACUAUUUCAGAGCCAGAGGAGGAUAGUGGCGGCGGCGAACUUUGCCCGGUAGAUUUUACUGACUGGGGUGCUGGCGCGCGCCUUUUUCUCGGCCAGAAUCCAGUUAUUGGGAUAGUCUUGACUUCUACCUCAGCCCAACUUCUGUGGUCGUAAUAUUAGUUUAGCUUGGGUUUGCCGUGAAGUAAGAAGACUGACUUCCGCAAAGGUACUGAACGACUGGGUGUAGGUGCCAGGGCAUGGACGUGAAGCUGGAACCGCGAAAUGAGUUAGUUGUGGGCCGCUGGCCUCAAGGAGCGAACGUCAGCGCGAAGAGGAGAAGCUUGUGCAUACGCUCUGAUAAGGGUUUUAAUAGAGGUAUUACCACAGUGCUGCGUGACACGGUUGAGAGAGUGGUCAGAAGAAGCUAAUGAAAGGAAUUGAAGCAGUGCCUUAGGGGAGUAGGAGUACUUUUGGAGAUAGCAAAGGACUUUCUAGGCAAAGUGGAAGUCAAAGCACGGAUGCCUGAAAAUUCAUAGUGUGAUAGUGCAGUGAGUAAUGUAUCUAGAGAAGGGGUCUUAAACCCAGAUGCCUAGACUGGCGAGAGAAAAUAAAUUAUCUUAUGCAAGCUGAGCCUAAACAAAUGGUGGAAGUUACUACGAUGGAUAAGUGAGCAUUAAGUUCAUCUGAAAGGAGAAUUUGAUACCCAAAUCCAACCCAUUUCUCUAGGAGAAUGAGCACCCAGUUUCUGAGAUGUCUUCGUUUCUCAGGAAAAUCCAGAAAUCCUGGGUUUUAUGUGAAACUUAAUUUAUAAGUGUUGCUAACUAAUUAAAAUUCAAAAAUGUCU